Fukomys damarensis (Damara mole-rat) is the source of this 937-nucleotide long non-coding RNA. RefSeq lists it as uncharacterized. The transcript has 3 exons. NCBI's taxonomy places the organism in Eukaryota, Metazoa, Chordata, Mammalia, Rodentia, Bathyergidae. The record is from RefSeq and is a predicted model, not a curated record.
UUUAUGUGUGAGAUCCGGAGUCAGAUAGAUUUCCCAGAAGAUUCGCAAGGCCUGCGGGAGUCAUAACGGAGCCCACGCCCGGCAGGGAGGAGGGGUGUUAGAGACGGAUUGAUAACAGUGAGACGAGUCCAGAUGUUUUUAUUACUUUCCACUUUGCUCCCAGCAUUGGGAUUGCAAAUAGAGACACUAGUAAUCCGGGUAUGCGUGUCUGUAGCCUCCGAGGGGUUAUGGGACUCAUCUUCUACCUCUGGCCCGGGCCCUGCUCUGAGCCUCAGGCCUGUGUAUCCCAGAGCCCACUUCCCGUGUCCUUGGGGAUAUCACAGAACAACUCGAUUUCCACCUGUCCAGACUACGCUUGGUUUCCCCUUGAAGCCCGAGGCCGGCUCUGCUCAUUAUCCUGAAGGACGUGACCACCAGCAGCCAUACGGGUAGAGUUUGCUUUGGAGCUCUCCAAGAGAAAGAAUUCCCACAAAUCUGGGGAAGACACAUUUGAGAAGAGCUGUGAAAAAGAUGAAGCUCUGAAAUAUCUUGUAAUCCAAGGUAAUUCAACCCAUGCCAUCACAACUGGCUCUUUGGAAUUUCUGUUACUUUUCACCAAAGAUAUUCAUGUCAUGCUCCUGAGAUUUUGACAGAAGUCAGUAAAUUAAUCCGACAGAUCAGCUGGCCUAUGGUUUCCUCAGCCUGGUGGAGAAGGAAGUUAACCUCUAUCCAGAGACAGUCAUUAAGUGCAAGUUUGAGUGGUGGGCACAGCUCCUUGAUUUGUCAAUUCAAAGAUGCCAAGGAAGGAGGAAGAGAAGCAGGGAGAUGCAUACGGACCUGCCUUUACCCUCACCCCAUGCCUGGCAUUCACGAUCCCCUCUCUGUAGGUGUAUGACUCUCCUAGCUAAAAUGUACAAUGCAGUUCAUUACUCAAAUUAAUGUGCAUUACAAUAAAGAG